ACUCCUACGGGAGGCAGCAGUGGGGAAUAUUGCACAAUGGGCGCAAGCCUGAUGCAGCCAUGCCGCGUGUAUGAAGAAGGCCUUCGGGUUGUAAAGUACUUUCAGCAGUGAGGAAGGUGGGUAUGUUAAUAGCAUACUCAUUUGUACGUUAGCUGCAGAAGAAGCACCGGCUAACUCCGUGCCAGCAGCCGCGGUAAUACGGAGGGUGCGAGCGUUAAUCGGAAUUACUGGGCGUAAAGCGCAUGCAGGUGGUUUGUUAAGUCAGAUGUGAAGCCCGGGGCUCAACCUCGGAAUUGCAUUUGAAACUGGCAAACUAGAGUACUGUAGAGGGGGUAGAAUUUCAGGUGUAGCGGUGAAAUGCGUAGAGAUCUGAAGGAUACCGGUGGCGAAGGCGGCCCCUGGACAGAUACUGACACUCAGAUGCGAAA
This 428-nucleotide ribosomal RNA is filed under the name uncultured bacterium. Its description in RNAcentral is "bacterial SSU rRNA". It matches the Rfam family "Bacterial small subunit ribosomal RNA", at positions 335 to 758 of the family's 1533-position model. The record is from RNAcentral.